AACGAACGCUGGCGGCAUGCCUAACACAUGCAAGUCGAACGAGACCUUCGGGUCUAGUGGCGCACGGGUGCGUAACGCGUGGGAACCUGCCCUUAGGUUCGGAAUAACUCCCCGAAAGGGGUGCUAAUACCGGAUCAUGUCUUCGGACCAAAGAUUUAUCGCCUUUGGAUGGGCCCGCGUUGGAUUAGCUAGUUGGUAGGGUAAAAGCCUACCAAGGCGACGAUCCAUAGCUGGUCUGAGAGGAUGAUCAGCCACACUGGGACUGAGACACGGCCCAGACUCCUACGGGAGGCAGCAGUGGGGAAUAUUGGACAAUGGGGGAAAGCCUGAUCCAGCAAUGCCGCGUGAGUGAUGAAGGCCUUAGGGUUGUAAAGCUCUUUUACCCGGGAUGAUAAUGACAGUACCGGGAGAAUAAGCUCCGGCUAACUCCGUG
This 433-nucleotide ribosomal RNA is filed under the name uncultured bacterium. RNAcentral's name for it is "partial 16S ribosomal RNA". It matches the Rfam family "Bacterial small subunit ribosomal RNA", at positions 29 to 507 of the family's 1533-position model. The record is from RNAcentral.